This 2454-nucleotide long non-coding RNA is filed under the name Homo sapiens (human). Its description in RNAcentral is "HSALNT0303486". The record is from RNAcentral. Lineage: Eukaryota; Metazoa; Chordata; Mammalia; Primates; Hominidae.
CGCUCUUAGACUCAUUGUUCUGCCUAUUCCUAACACUAAAUAGAUGUUCUGUUUUGGCUGAUAGAGAUUAUAUUCACAUCAUUGCCUGUUUGGAUCAGAGGCCUCUCAAGGGAGCAGAUUAGACUUCAAAGAAACCAACCACAAGAAGGAAAUCUUGUAGAGGAAAGCUUUCUGAGAAACCUCCUCCCAUCUUUCUCCUCUCCUUUGUCUUUGUGUGCAACUUCCUCCACUCUAGUCUGAGCUCAGGGCUCAGGCCAGGCUGCUUCCUGUUGGCAGGUUGCUGGGGUGUAGACUGUCAGACAGCAAAUAAAAAGAGCUAUGAAAUCAUAACCAUUCUCUAAAGAGUUAACUCUUCUGUGUGAGACUAACACAGAGGGUAGAAUGGAUGUGAUUAAAAAUUUUUGUCAAAUCCACCUAGGCUGUGACAGAAUUCUUGAAUGUUACCAUGUUACCUACCAUGCCUCAGGCAUUGAGCUAAACGACCAGGCUACAAAGAUGCACAGAGAUGCCUUACCUUGAAGAGUUCAAGACCUGGGGUACAGAAUGGCCAGGGGCACAAGACAGCUCAUGGAGGAGGAACGAAAAGUCCGGCACCGUGAGAUGAGUAUUCAAACGCAAGCUGAGCAGAGAAGAUCCAGAUAAAUGCAGCCCUUCAUUCAAGGCUACACUUUCUGAUGGCUAUUACAUUUGAACUCCAAGAGGUAAACUCUGUUUCACUUCUUCUGCAAAGCCUUUUCAAAGCUUUUCCAUAAAACUGUAGCUCAACACUAAGUAAGUUGUCCCUUCACUGAAUCCUAUAGCACAGUAGUUCUUAAAUUUGAGCAUCAGCCAAGCGCAGUGGUCCACGCCUAUAAUCCCAGAACUCUGAGGCCAAGGUGGAGGAUUGCUUGAGCCCAGGAGUUUGAAACCAGCCUGGAAAACACAGGGAGACCCCGCCUCUCUACAAAAUUAAAAAAUAUAUAAAAAUUUUGAGCAUGUAUUAGAAUCACCCAGAGGGCAGAGAGAGUAUGGAGCACCCCCACAGUAUAGUAGGUCUGGGCUGGAGCCCAAAGAUUUGCAUUCCUAACAAGUUCACAGGUUAUACCAAUGCUGCAGGUCUGGAACCAUGCUUUGAGAACCACAGCUGUUAACAUAUAUGCUCUACCUUAUAAUUUCAUCUCUUAUUUGUAUUGUCUAGAAAUAGUCCUGAAUUAUUCUUAGCGUAUCAGUCUGUCUUCUCGACCAGAUUUCAAUUCCUGCAGUGGCAGAGGUUGUAUAUAUUUUCUACCACAUCAAUUAGCAUUAUUGGACACAUAGUCUACUAAGUACUUAUACACUGGGAAGAGCUUCAGAGAACUUGAAUUCUUCAAGGAGACAGGGAUCAACUAUGGUUAAUUAUAGGAUUUCCACAUUUUGCAAAAGAUCAUCUAAUUUUUCCUCAUCAUUCAUAUUUGCAGAGAAAAGUCUUCAUUUCCUUGAGCAAUAUCCUAAUCUCAUUAAAGAAACACUCCAGUCUUGAUUUAGGAAAAAAAGAUUCAUUCCUUCAUCCUUCCAAAUAAGGUACAGUACAACUCAAUAACAAUGCACAUUACUGAAAAACACAAUUGCGUCUUAUAUUGCUCACUACUCUUUAAGUAUAAUUCAGAUAUUAAGGAAAAUAACUGCUAAUCACAUUAACACAUUACAGAAAUCAAAAUUAACUUACCACACAAAAUAAAUUAAAACAUUAAAUAUUAACCUUUUCAGUGCAACAUAUACAGACAUCAGAGUAAGGAGUUCUAAAAAAAAGCAUCAGGUUUAUUAUAAUAAAGAUAAUGAAAAGUUGACCAUUUUAGUAAAUUAUUAAGACUAAGAAGAGGAGUUGCUUUUUCAGUACUCUCUCUCUCUCUGUGUGAACCACUAGAUCUUUCAGAAAGCCUGGUAAAUCAAUGGCUAGAGAGAACAGGUCUUAUGUUAGAACAUUUAAAAAUAUACAUGUUUGUCUUACUUCUGCAAUGUGUUCUUGGUUUUGGGCAUUUGAGUCAUUCCUCCUUCUGUGACUGGGCAGGUUGGAAGAGAUCAAAGCCCAGAACCAACUAGAGGGCAGGGGUCUCCUGAGCAGUGUUAGAGCCUCAUUAGUCCAUCCCGGCCAAAUUGACUGAAAAAGCAACUGGUGACCCAUGUGCCCUCGAAAACCUGGCUUGAAGAUAACAGGCAGUUUUCUGUACCUGCAAAACACAAUCCCUUGAGAAGCUCCAGAAGCACAAAUUCUCCUCCCUUACCAGUGUGGGUGGGUGAGUGGCAAUCCCAUCUUUUUCUCCUUUCUCAGGGAAAAGAACUCUAGGGCCAUUCUGCCCAUCUCUCCUGCGGGGACACAAUGGCCAGCCCAUCCCUGGCUUGGUUCCACGUGUGUCCAGCCGGGGCCCUGUCUUCCAGAUCAGGGUUGGCUGCUGUCUAUCUUUCCAUGUAGAAGAAAACAUUUCCUGUCAGGAUGCU